This is a long non-coding RNA of Drosophila teissieri, 1080 nucleotides long. RefSeq lists it as uncharacterized. Lineage: Eukaryota; Metazoa; Arthropoda; Insecta; Diptera; Drosophilidae. The record is from RefSeq and is a predicted model, not a curated record. The transcript has 3 exons.
AUAAAAGUGAUUGGAACUUUUUCGGACUGAUUUUACAAAGCGAUAAGAGCGCAGCCAAUGAAAUAUUUAUGCAUUUCAUACAUGUGUAUAUAAACUAUAUGUGUGUAUACAAAGAGCAAGUCUUUUUAUUCGGGUCUUCUGAUAAAUUUCGUUGGCAACUUAUUCGCCAAUCGCUUUCGCAGAGUUUCUCACAAGACAACUGCAAUUUGAGCGCCUAGAAAAUAAAAACCGAAUAGGAAACUUUGUGGCCGGCAUGAGAACAAACCAAGUACUAAACGAAAUCAAGCCAAACCAAACCAAACCGAAACGAGCCAACGAAAAAAAAUAAAAGAAUCUAAAGUGGCGAGCGAACCCUAUAAUCGAAAUCGAUUUCGCAAUGAGGGGAAGCGACACCUACAAAGGGGCUAUCAGCCCACCACCCGAUCCCAAGACCGUUGAAAUGGCACCUCGACGAAGACGAUUUGCCAAAUUUGCUAAACUUACAAACUGAUGGCCAUGUCGUGAUGGGUAUUCUCUGUAUUUUCCGCUCGAGUUUCUAUGUGUGCGAAUUGCUGUGUGUUUGCAUGGCUUUGUUAGUAAAUUAUGUUAAUUGUAUUCUUCUUCGACUGUCACCGUAUCAAACUCUGCCUGGCAGGCCAGCCAACUCGGGCCCAUCAGUCCCACCAGCACCAACACCACCAGUACCCGUACCAGCUCCACUCGGAAUCCCAAUCCCAGACACCAAAGCAAAAAAAACACAAUAAAAUCAGCCAAAUAUUGGCAAGCCGAAAUUGGAAUACACUUGGGGGUGUACAACCACUUAAUCCAUUCAUCUUCUGGUGCCAAGGGAGUUGGGAUCCCAAAUUAAGAGGCAGGAAAUGUGGGACAACUCAAUUGCAAAUCGUUGUUUGCCCUGCUCGAUUGCAUUUGCUGAAUAGGUUAAUAUGCGAACCACUCCAAUAACUUCUCUUUAAGGAUGCGAAACCUUUUAACCCGAAAUCAGCGAGGGUAUACAAUAAAUUGGGAAACAAGCGUACGCUCUUCUCUUACAUACAGAUAUCCGUGUGUAUUUGUGGGUACCCCAAAUAUAAGGUUAUGUAC